This 101-nucleotide transfer RNA is filed under the name Anopheles sinensis. RNAcentral's name for it is "tRNA tRNA-Tyr". It matches the Rfam family "tRNA". From Rfam's summary of the family: Transfer RNA (tRNA) molecules are approximately 80 nucleotides in length. Their secondary structure includes four short double-helical elements and three loops (D, anti-codon, and T loops). Lineage: Eukaryota; Metazoa; Arthropoda; Insecta; Diptera; Culicidae. The record is from Rfam by way of RNAcentral.
CCUUCGAUAGCUCAGUUGGUAGAGCGGUGGACUGUAGAAGCAAGCUUUGCAAGCAAGAAAUAGUAAUCCAUAGGUCACUGGUUCAAAUCCGGUUCGAAGGA